RNAcentral lists this ribosomal RNA (464 nucleotides) under uncultured bacterium. RNAcentral's name for it is "partial 16S ribosomal RNA". It matches the Rfam family "Bacterial small subunit ribosomal RNA", at positions 28 to 507 of the family's 1533-position model. The record is from RNAcentral.
GACGAACGCUGGCGGCGUGCUUAACACAUGCAAGUCGGACGAUGAACCGGUUUCGGCCGGGGAUUAGUGGCGAACGGGUGAGUAACACGUGGGCAAUCUGCCCUGCACUCUGGGAUAAGCCCGGGAAACUGGGUCUAAUACCGGAUACGACACUCCGAGGCAUCUUGGGGUGUGGAAAGUUCCGGCGGUGCAGGACGAGCCCGCGGCCUAUCAGCUUGUUGGUGGGGUAAUGGCCUACCAAGGCGACGACGGGUAGCCGGCCUGAGAGGGUGACCGGCCACACUGGGACUGAGACACGGCCCAGACUCCUACGGGAGGCAGCAGUGGGGAAUAUUGCACAAUGGGCGAAAGCCUGAUGCAGCGACGCCGCGUGAGGGAUGACGGCCUUCGGGUUGUAAACCUCUUUCAGCAGGGAAGAAGCGAAAGUGACGGUACCUGCAGAAGAAGCACCGGCUAACUACGUG